Long non-coding RNA from Gorilla gorilla gorilla (western lowland gorilla), 1029 nucleotides. RefSeq lists it as uncharacterized. The transcript is spliced from 3 exons. NCBI's taxonomy places the organism in Eukaryota, Metazoa, Chordata, Mammalia, Primates, Hominidae. The record is from RefSeq and is a predicted model, not a curated record.
AUUUGGCCAUUUAAAAAUGAAGAAAAACCACUCACUCCACCUCAAAAAACAUAGAGCGUAACUGGCUUUAUGUCUUCAUCAGUCAAUCCAAACAAGUUAGAGGAUCUUGGUGUUUAAUUUUGGGCCGCCGCGGCCGUCUUCUCCUCAGCCGCCGCCUCCUCAGCCGCCGGUUCCGCCGCGGCCGGACUCACCUCCCCUAGCAAAGCCGGAUAGAGCGGAGCCAGCGUCGGACACGCGCAACCAGCCGCCGAGGCCCCGCCCCCGCCUUGCACGGACCGGCUGCCCUAGCCAAUCCACGCCCACCUGUCCGCUACCGCCUCCAAUCCUGGGCCAGGAGCUUCAGACAGGCGCACUGUUCGGCCAGUGGCAACAAGGAGCAGGAAGCUGCGUGCUAAUCCCGCCUGCAAAAGCUGGAAGAGAGGGGCGGAACGAAAGAACCAAUCAUGAGCCAGAGACAAAGAACAGAGUAACCAAUCCUUGGGUUGAAAAUGAAGUGGGAUGGAACCUGGGCCAAAUAGACACUUGAAAAAACAAAUGGAAAAAAAAAGAUUGAUAUAAGUCCCACCCUUUAGAUCUCCUAUAGGACAGGAUUGUGGAGAAUUUGCUGUCAUAUCGAGACAGCCUCUUCAAGGGGCGGGGCUUAGGGAAGGGGUGGAGUCUUAAAGUGGGCGGGACCUAGACGAAGAAGGCGGAGUCCAAAUCAUCACUGGUCCACUGAUCCGAGAUGUCCAAUAUCCCACUUAAGAUGUAAAGUGUGGGGUAAAAAAUAGGGGAAGAAAAAGGGAAUGUUGAGCUUCAGAAACUCAAGGUCCAAGGUCACUCAACAAGAAGACAAAAGAAACUCAAAAGACUGACAGAAACUCAGUAGACUGACAGUUCGUAGUCUACGGCCGGUCCUCUCCAUAGUUAAUCCUGAUCUUGGCAAAAAGAGGAGGAAUCUCUGGCAUUCAGAACUCCACUGUCGACAAAUGAUAAAGCUGUUGGUGCAAAUUAAAACAAAAAAAUUAAACUUGACCACAAAAAUAAUAA